RNAcentral lists this ribosomal RNA (424 nucleotides) under uncultured bacterium. RNAcentral's name for it is "partial 16S ribosomal RNA". It matches the Rfam family "Bacterial small subunit ribosomal RNA", at positions 359 to 774 of the family's 1533-position model. The record is from RNAcentral.
GAAUAUUGGACAAUGGGGGGACCCUUAACCCACCAUUCCCCCGGUGUGAAAGAGGCCUUUUGGGUUUUAAACAACUUUAGCGGAGGGGGGGAGGCCUUUGGUAAUACCCAAGAUUCCUGGACGUUUACCGCCGGAUAAGCCACCGGCAACCCCUGUGCAAGCAGCCGCGGUAAUACAGAGGGUGCAAGCGUUAAUCGGAUUUACUGGGCGUAAAGCGCGCGUAGGUGGCCAAUUAAGUCAAAUGUGAAAUCCCCGAGCUUAACUUGGGAAUUGCAUUCGAUACUGGUUGGCUAGAGUAUGGGAGAGGAUGGUAGAAUUCCAGGUGUAGCGGUGAAAUGCGUAGAGAUCUGGAGGAAUACCGAUGGCGAAGGCAGCCAUCUGGCCUAAUACUGACACUGAGGUGCGAAAGCAUGGGGAGCAAACA